GGAGCAACGCCGCGUGAGUGAUGAAGGUUUUCGGAUCGUAAAACUCUGUUGUCAGGGAAGAACAAGUAUCGGAGUAACUGCCGGUACCUUGACGGUACCUGACCAGAAAGCCACGGCUAACUACGUGCCAGCAGCCGCGGUAAUACGUAGGUGGCAAGCGUUGUCCGGAAUUAUUGGGCGUAAAGCGCGCGCAGGCGGUUCCUUAAGUCUGAUGUGAAAGCCCACGGCUCAACCGUGGAGGGUCAUUGGAAACUGGGGAACUUGAGUGCAGAAGAGGAGAGUGGAAUUCCACGUGUAGCGGUGAAAUGCGUAGAGAUGUGGAGGAACACCAGUGGCGAAGGCGACUCUCUGGUCUGUAACUGACGCUGAGGCGCGAAAGCGUGGGGAGCAAACAGGAUUAGAUACCCUGGUAGUCCACGCCGUAAACGAUGAGUGCUAAGUGUUAGAGGGUUUCCGCCCUUUAGUGCUGCAGCAAACG
This 478-nucleotide ribosomal RNA is filed under the name Cytobacillus firmus. Its description in RNAcentral is "bacterial SSU rRNA". It matches the Rfam family "Bacterial small subunit ribosomal RNA", at positions 388 to 857 of the family's 1533-position model. The record is from RNAcentral. Lineage: Bacteria; Bacillati; Bacillota; Bacilli; Caryophanales; Bacillaceae.